This 407-nucleotide ribosomal RNA is filed under the name uncultured bacterium. Its description in RNAcentral is "partial 16S ribosomal RNA". It matches the Rfam family "Bacterial small subunit ribosomal RNA", at positions 30 to 526 of the family's 1533-position model. The record is from RNAcentral.
AUUGAACGCUAGCGGGAUGCCUUACACAUGCAAGUCGAACGGAGUGGCGAACGGGUGAGUAAUGUAUCGGCACGUGCCCAGUAGCGGGGGAUAACUACGCGAAAGCGUAGCUAAUACCGCAUACUAUUGGAGCGGCAGAUAUGGGGUUAGCUUGUUGGAGGGGUAACGGCUAACCCAGGCGAGGAGCCGUAGCGGGUUUGAGAGGACGACCAGCCAAACUGGGACGGAGACACGGCCCAGACUCCUACGGGAGGCAGCAGUGGGGAAUGUUGGACAAUGGGGGAAACCCUGAUCCAGCCAUCCCGCGUGUGCGAUGAAGGCCUUCGUGUUGUAAAGCACUUUUGGCAGGAAAGCGGUACCUGCAGAAUAAGCACCGGCUAACUACGUGCCAGCAGCCGCGGUAAUUC